GGAAAAGUAGCUUAAUUCAAAGCACUUUGUUGAAAACGAAGAAGAUGGUGUACUACUUUUUUCCG
Molecule: transfer RNA, 65 nt
Filed under: Modiolus philippinarum
Lineage: Eukaryota; Metazoa; Mollusca; Bivalvia; Mytilida; Modiolidae
Description: tRNA-Phe
Source: RNAcentral